RNAcentral lists this ribosomal RNA (878 nucleotides) under uncultured Burkholderiales bacterium. RNAcentral's name for it is "bacterial SSU rRNA". It matches the Rfam family "Bacterial small subunit ribosomal RNA", at positions 114 to 989 of the family's 1533-position model. Lineage: Bacteria; Pseudomonadati; Pseudomonadota; Betaproteobacteria; Burkholderiales. The record is from RNAcentral.
UGCAUCGGAACGUGCCCAGUCGUGGGGGAUAACUACUCGAAAGAGUGGCUAAUACCGCAUACGAUCUGCGGAUGAAAGCGGGGGACCUUCGGGCCUCGCGCGAUUGGAGCGGCCGAUGUCAGAUUAGGUAGUUGGUGGGGUAAAAGCCUACCACGGCGAUGAUCUGUAACUGGUCUGAGAGGACGACCAGUCACACUGGGACUGAGACACGGGCCAGACUCCUACGGGAGGCAGCAGUGGGGAAUUUUGGACAAUGGGCGCAAGCCUGAUCCAGCAAUGCCGCGUGUGUGACGAAGGCCUUCGGGUUGUAAAGCACUUUUGUUCGGGAAGAAAUCCGCCGGGCUAAUAUCCUGGCGGGAUGACGGUACCGGAAGAAUAAGCACCGGCUAACUACGUGCCAGCAGCCGCGGUAAUACGUAGGGUGCGAGCGUUAAUCGGAAUUACUGGGCGUAAAGCGUGCGCAGGCGGCGCUGUAAGACAGAUGUGAAAUCCCCGGGCUCAACCUGGGAACUGCAUUUGUGACUGCAGUGCUAGAGUGUGUCAGAGGGGGUUGGAAUUCCACGUGUAGCAGUGAAAUGCGUAGAGAUGUGGAGGAACACCGAUGGCGAAGUCAGCCCCCUGGGAUAACACUGACGCUCAGGCACGAAAGCGUGGGGAGCAAACAGGAUUAGAUAGCCUGGUAGUCCACGCCCUAAACUAUGUCUACUAGUUGUCGGGGAUUUAUUUCCUUGGUAACGCAGCUAACGCGUGAAGUAGACCGCCUGGGGAGUACGGCCGCAAGGUUAAAACUCAAAGGAAUUGACGGGGACCCGCACAAGCGGUGGAUGAUGUGGAUUAAUUCGAUGCAACGCGAAAAACCUUACCUACGCUUGACAUGU